GACGAACGCUGGCGGCGUGCCUAAUACAUGCAAGUAGAACGCUGAAGAGAGGAGCUUACUCUUCUUGGAUGAGUUGCGAACGGGUGAGUAACGCGUAGGUAACCUGCCUUGUAGCGGGGGAUAACUAUUGGAAACGAUAGCUAAUACCGCAUAACAAUGGAUGACACAUGUCAUUUAUUUGAAAGGGGCAAUUGCUCCACUACAAGGUGGACCUGCGUUGUAUUAGCUAGUAGGUGAGGUAAUGGCUCACCUAGGCGACGAUACAUAGCCGACCUGAGAGGGUGAGCGGCCACACUGGGACUGAGACACGGCCCAGACGCCUACGGGAGGCAGCAGUAGGGAAUCGUCGGCAAUGGGGGCAACACUGACCGAGCAACGCCGCGUGAGUGAAGAAGGUUUUCGGAUCGUAAAGCUCUGUUGUAAGUCAAGAACGGGUGUGAGAGUGGAAAGUUCACACUGUGACGGUAGCUUACCAGAAAGGGACGGCUAACUACGUG
RNAcentral lists this ribosomal RNA (497 nucleotides) under uncultured bacterium. RNAcentral's name for it is "partial 16S ribosomal RNA". It matches the Rfam family "Bacterial small subunit ribosomal RNA", at positions 28 to 507 of the family's 1533-position model. The record is from RNAcentral.